RNAcentral lists this ribosomal RNA (252 nucleotides) under uncultured Bacteroidales bacterium. RNAcentral's name for it is "partial 16S ribosomal RNA". It matches the Rfam family "Bacterial small subunit ribosomal RNA", at positions 524 to 776 of the family's 1533-position model. The record is from RNAcentral. Lineage: Bacteria; Pseudomonadati; Bacteroidota; Bacteroidia; Bacteroidales.
UCCGGAGGAUCCGAGCGUUAUCCGGAUUUAUUGGGUUUAAAGGGUGCGUAGGCGGCGAGUUAAGUCAGCGGUAAAAGCCCGGGGCUCAACCCCGGCCCGCCGUUGAAACUGGGGAUCUAGAGUGUGCGAGAGGUAUGCGGAAUGCGUGGUGUAGCGGUGAAAUGCAUAGAUAUCACGCAGAACCCCGAUUGCGAAGGCAGCCUGCCGGCCCCACACUGACGCUGAGGCACGAAAGCGUGGGUAUCGAACAGG